This 508-nucleotide ribosomal RNA is filed under the name uncultured bacterium. RNAcentral describes it as "partial 16S ribosomal RNA". It matches the Rfam family "Bacterial small subunit ribosomal RNA", at positions 29 to 523 of the family's 1533-position model. The record is from RNAcentral.
AACGAACGCUGGCGGCAGGUCUUAGGCAUGCAAGUCGAACGGCAGCGGGGGAGAAGCUUGCUUUUCCUGCCGGCGAGUGGCGAACGGGUGAGUAAUACAUCGGAACGUGCCCUGUAGUGGGGGAUAACUAGUCGAAAGAUUAGCUAAUACCGCAUACGACCUGAGGGUGAAAGUGGGGGACCGCAAGGCCUCAUGCUACAGGAGCGGCCGAUGUCUGAUUAGCUAGUUGGUGGGGUAAAGGCCUACCAAGGCGACGAUCAGUAGCUGGUCUGAGAGGACGAUCAGCCACACUGGGACUGAGACACGGCCCAGACUCCUACGGGAGGCAGCAGUGGGGAAUUUUGGACAAUGGGCGAAAGCCUGAUCCAGCAAUGCCGCGUGUGUGAAGAAGGCCUUCGGGUUGCAAAGCACUUUUGUCCGGAAAGAAAUGGCUCUGGUUAAUACCUGGGGUCGAUGACGGUACCGGAAGAAUAAGGACCGGCUAACUACGUGCCAGCCGCCGCGGUAA